CCUACGGGAGGCAGCAGUGAGGAAUAUUGGUCAAUGGGCGGAAGCCUGAACCAGCCAAGUAGCGUGCAGGAUGACGGCCCUACGGGUUGUAAACUGCUUUUAUACGGGAAUAACGCGCCUUACGUGUAGGGCUUUGCAUGUACCGUAUGAAUAAGGACCGGCUAAUUCCGUGCCAGCCGCCGCGGUAAUACGGAAGGUCCGGGCGUUAUCCGGAUUAAUUGGGGUAAAAGGGUGCGCAGGCGGCGGGUUAAGUCAGCGGUAAAAUUUCGGGGCUCAACCCCGACAAGCCGUUGAAACUGGCUUGCUAGAGUGGGCGAGAAGUAUGCGGAAUGCGUGGUGUAGCGGUGAAAUGCAUAGAUAUGACGAAGAACCCCGAUUGCGAAGGCAGCUUGCUGCAGCGGAACUGACGCUGAUGCUCGAAAGCGCGGGUAUCGAACAGGAUUAGAUACCCCGGUAGUC
Molecule: ribosomal RNA, 459 nt
Filed under: uncultured bacterium
Lineage: Bacteria
Description: partial 16S ribosomal RNA
Rfam family: Bacterial small subunit ribosomal RNA
Source: RNAcentral